RNAcentral lists this transfer RNA (76 nucleotides) under Bacillus subtilis. RNAcentral's name for it is "tRNA-Arg". It matches the Rfam family "tRNA". Rfam says of the family: Transfer RNA (tRNA) molecules are approximately 80 nucleotides in length. The record is from RNAcentral. Lineage: Bacteria; Bacillati; Bacillota; Bacilli; Caryophanales; Bacillaceae.
GCGCUCGUAGCUCAGUUGGAUAGAGCGGUGGUUUCCGGCACUACGUCUGUCGGGGGUUCGAAUCCCUCCGAGCGCG